UGCUUUCCAAUGAUCCAAUAGCUCAGAACUUAAUACCACAUAAUAUAAAUCAUUCUGAAAUUAAUGCCUAUCCAUAUCCCCCACCUCUUCAUCUCUCUCAACUCAGAGACAUGAACCCUAGCCGCCGCCCCAAAAUUCCCAAAUCCCAUCGGCGGCGGCGUGACCCAAUCCUCACCAAACUAACACCCUAGAAUCUUCUUCAGCCCCACAGUCCAAAUUUCGAGUCCUUCACCCUGGAAUCACAGCCCUAUCUCGCCUAGUCUUAAAUUUGAGGGCCGGAGGCCAGACUUUUUUCUACCAAAUCGGACCCAGACACUCACCACUCUCUUUCCCUCCCAAAAGCCUCAAGUCUAUCCCGUCAAGCCCUCUUUAAAACUCAUAGAGAUCAAGUCUCGAUGGACGUGCAUGAGUUGAGCCAGAAAAGGUACCCCUUGGUUUUUUUCAAAGAGGAGCACUCAUGUGGUACCUCUUUCCGGGUUUAGGUCAAAUAAGACGGGUAUAGCUAGAUAGCCAUGGCAGUAGGUAUUCACUUCUUCUAUCUUGCUGUUUUUCUUUUAACAAAUAAUGAAAUAAUUCGCUCAAUGUUAGUUUAGCUGGUUUUAGGUUUGAAUUCAGGGGUAUGCCGGUAGAUAAGCAGGUUUCCAAUUUCAGUUAAGGAUCAUUAGGGUCAACAUCGUUGUUUUUAUUGAUUUCUUGGUGCCAUGUUUGAUUUGAUUGCAUCAUUGGUUGAAUUAAGAUCUUUUAUUAAUUUUUGCCUCACUUAAUUGUGAUAUCGAUUUGUUAGGUGCAUUGCGUACAAAUUAUUGCUUCUGAAUAUCUCGUUAAAGUUCAUUUUUCCAUCUAUGGGUUUAUUGGUUUAAGUUUCCAAUUGGUAUUUUCUUUGGGCUCAAGACUCUAUUUGGGGCCUUAGGUUUACUUGACCGAGGCUGGCCUGCUGAACGUAAAAAAACAGGGAUGUUAGAGGUGUUUUGGACAUUUGAGGUUUUAAGGGAAUCAUUUUUUAUUGGGGAAAGUUCUAGAUGAUAAGAUGAGAGCUGGUUUGUUAAGGGCAUGAGAUUUUUAGAUAUUUUUAAAAGGUUAAAAGGGGUAAAAUGAUCAUCAAUUAAUGGGGUAAAAAUGAGAAAUUGUCAGAUAGGUUAGGGCUGCCUUAGGCAUGCCUAUAUAAAGACCUCUUUCUUUUCAUAUUGAGCAGAUUUUGACACCCUGAAGACUGAAAAAGAUAGAAAGAAAUACUGAAGUUUAGAAUCAAUUGAUUUCCUUCUAAAAAUCCAAAAAAUACUUAAAGUUGUUUGAGUUGGUUUAGGUUUCUUAGUUUUAUUUCUCUGAAUCAUUCUGUUGAUUUAGAAUUUCCAGAAAAUUUCUGAAACUGGGCAUUUGGUGAUAGAAAUUCUUUAAGCUUUGUUUAAAGUCGUUUUAUUGGAGCUUGUCUACUAUCCAUUGAUUUUUACUGACAUUUUCAUGGUUUGACUGACCAAAUCUGGGUUGUGCUACUGCUUCCUGCUGACACUCUCAUUCAUUCUGCUAUUUUUCAUUUCCAGGUAUAUGGCUUUGAACCUUACUUAAUGUAAAGCUGGAUUGGAAGAAAUGAAAUGGAAAACAAGAUUUGAAGUGUAGAAGCAGAUUUACUUGUUAUUCAACAGAAUUUCCUCAUUUUUUGUGUCUCUCAUAAUGCGAUUCAUAGUAUAUUGGUUGAUAUGGAAUUUGAAAUAGUUAUCUUUCAUGUUUGUACUUGACUUGGAAUCUCUGAGAUGUUGUAGUGGAAGAUUUGGGUUGGAUUAUUGUAUCUUAAAUGUGAUUUUCUUUUAGCUAUAGAAAUGGUCAUGCUUGGUGAAGAUUGUAAUCCAGAUUAGUUGCGAUGGUUAGUAUAGGAUAGAGACAGAUUGAUAACAUGCCAUAUGCUGUUUGAAGGAUAUCAUGGGAAGUUAUUUUGCUGUGAAUAUUCUGUUUAUAAACCUGUGUUGAAAAUGAUUUUAAUAGUUUAUUAAUAUUGUUUAAAGUUGACAUGAGUCAUCUUAGUAUUCUACAUUUUGAUAAGUGUUUGUGAGUUUGUCUUUGCUGUAGCAUGUAUUUAAAGAAUCACUUUUAAGCUUAGUUAUUUGCCUAACUCUUAUUGAAUCUAUUGACAUAAGUCAUCUUAGGAUUCUACGUUUUGAUAAGGUUUUUUGAGUUUUUCUUUGCUGUAGCAUGUAUUUAAAGAAUCACUUUUAAGCUUAGUUAUUUGCCUAACUCUUAUUGAAUCUGCUGAAGGCUUAUCUGGUAAAUGGUCCAAUGAUUGUACGGUAUUAAAAGCCAUGCUAGGUGCAGUCUUCAUUUUUCAAAAGCUAGUAUGUUGCUUGAUUGAAGACUCGAUCUCGAGUCUUACAUCCUAAUGCUCAACUCUCCCAGGUUUGAGCCUACAAUGGGCCUGGAAUGGAGAUCAGCUUGCAUUUCUUCACGUGAAGGACCAGUUGGUCGAGCCCAAGGCUAUUUUGCGUUUCUUUCUGAUAUCCUUUCUUAUGUUUGUUGUUUUAGUUUAAAAU
This 2519-nucleotide long non-coding RNA is filed under the name Nicotiana benthamiana. RNAcentral describes it as "long non-coding RNA (NBEN_LNC008002)". The record is from RNAcentral. Lineage: Eukaryota; Viridiplantae; Streptophyta; Magnoliopsida; Solanales; Solanaceae.